Molecule: long non-coding RNA, 997 nt
Organism: Amphiprion ocellaris (clown anemonefish)
Lineage: Eukaryota; Metazoa; Chordata; Actinopteri; Pomacentridae
Source: Ensembl
GCAUAGAGGCUGCGGUGGAGCAGGUGGAGCAGGGCCAAUCAGAAGCCAUCCUCUACAAUAAAGCCUGACUCUACUCAUCAUUCUGUGCCAGACCGUGAAGGAUCUACAGUCAGUCUUUGCACCGUUCACUCCAGCCUCCAAACUGUGUAAACUGGUAACUGUUGUCUUUGCUUCCUCCUAGUCUGGAUCCCGGCCGUUCGUGUCCACCUGCUCCCGCUGUUCUUGGAUCAAAGAACCCUGGCUGCAACAACUCACCUGGUCAGUCUCCCCCGUUUCCUGGACGCCGCAGCCUCCAGAACAGCUGCAUGCCACCCAGAGCUUCCCAGCGUCCAACUCCCCCUCAUCUAGGUCUACACCUGGUCCCCUUUCAGUCCAUUCACGCUGAACCUCAGCACGAGCAUUCCAGACUAAGUGAAAGUAGCAGUUCCUCCUGAAGGUCAGAGAUUGCAGCAUCUGAGGGCCUCUUCAAAAGAAGACGUAGUUGAUGAAGACGUUCUGGAGCAGGACCAGAAAGACCACGACCAAGCAGCCUUGAGAUCUUAGGCAGCGUCUCCCUCAGGUCCCUCUCUAUCUCCCCACAUAUCCACCAACCACUGGAACACAUCUCCAAAGUUCUGCUGGACCAGCUCAGCUUCCCCUCAGAAGAAGUGCUGCCACCUGCCAGAUGAAGGAGCCUUUUGAGAGGCAGCUGGCAUCGUGAUUGGACUGUACUUUGGUCUGUUCCAAUCCAGCUUCAGCUCCAGAGACGGCAGGCGGGACGAGUCAAUGGAGGCCGGGUGGAUGAAGACAUGCAGCUGAGUACAAUCCAGAAAACAACAGAGGAGGAGUGCAGCAGCCCAGAGCCAGAACAACCAGAGUAGCAUGGUAUGUCUCUUAGAAAACAUCAUAGUAUAGCCUUUGGGAUGAAAAAACACCAUCAUAUACAUCGUAUAUUGUACAAAUAACAAGUCAAAGGAAAGAGACAUACAUUGUAGAAUUGUAGUAAUUGUGGGCUGAC